Molecule: small RNA, 1751 nt
Filed under: Pongo abelii (Sumatran orangutan)
Lineage: Eukaryota; Metazoa; Chordata; Mammalia; Primates; Hominidae
Description: retained intron
Source: RNAcentral
AGGAUGCCCGGCACAGCGGCGAGGAGACCGCAGGCUGUGGGGAGGGGCUGAGGUUACUGUCACCUGGGCCGGCCUCACUGGGGUCCCUCCUGCAGUCCACGCACCCCCUGGCACCCGGUCCUACUCGGCCUGGCCUUUCUGCCCGAGGCGGCAGGGACAGGCGCAGGGCAGAUGCCCAGAAGUGGAGCCGCAGGGCUUGGCUAGGGAGCCCCCGUGGGGGUCUGGACAGGCACACGGCAACCCGCCGUCUCCUCCACGCCCUCACCCUCCCCUUCCCUUCGUGUGCUGGGAAGAGGACCCAGGCCCAAGAAGCUGGUCUCCAGCCUGGCCACCUCCCAUGGCACACAGACAAGCCCAACACGCAGGCUGCAGGGAGUGCGGGCCCCACAGCUGGCUGAGCCCCCGGCCACGGCUUGGGCUGGCCCAGAGCAGAGCCUCUGCUGUGGCGACCUCAGGAGGGCCGAGUCACGCAACUGAUUCCAGGAUGGGACGGGAGGCGGGGGCACCCUGGGCCCUGUUCCUUCCCCACCUUGUGGGUGGGUGUUCAGACCAAAAGGCAGAACUGUCGGAAGACCCCCUGCCUUUGGCCAGUGGGUGGAGCUGGGCUCUGGACCCUGCUUCCCGUCAGAAGGCAGACCACCCCCUCGCCGGGAGUGGGGGGACGCAUCCAUGGCUUCCCGGCCACCUGCACAGAGCCUGCACUCACUCCUUGUGUGCCCUCUAGGAUGGCGGCUCCCUGGACCAGGUGCUGAAAGAGGCCAAGAGGAUUCCCGAGGAGAUCCUGGGGAAAGUCAGCAUCGCGGUUCUCCGGGGCUUGGCGUACCUCCGAGAGAAGCACCAGAUCAUGCACCGAGAUGUGAAGCCCUCCAACAUCCUCGUGAACUCUAGAGGGGAGAUCAAGCUGUGUGACUUUGGGGUGAGCGGCCAGCUCAUCGACUCCAUGGCCAACUCCUUCGUGGGCACGCGCUCCUACAUGGCUCCGGAGCGGUUGCAGGGCACACAUUACUCGGUGCAGUCGGACAUCUGGAGCAUGGGCCUGUCCCUGGUGGAGCUGGCCAUCGGAAGGUACCCCAUCCCCCCGCCCGACGCCAAGGAGCUGGAGGCCAUCUUUGGCCGGCCCGUGGUCGACGGGGAAGAAGGAGAGCCUCACAGCAUCUCGCCUCGGCCGAGGCCCCCCGGGCGCCCCAUCAGCGGUCACGGGAUGGACAGCCGGCCCGCCAUGGCCAUCUUUGAACUGCUGGACUAUAUUGUGAACGAGCCACCUCCUAAGCUGCCCAACGGGGUGUUCACCCCCGACUUCCAGGAGUUUGUCAAUAAAUGCCUCAUCAAGAACCCAGCGGAGCGGGCGGACCUGAAGAUGCUCACAAACCACACCUUCAUCAAGCGGUCCGAGGUGGAAGAAGUGGAUUUUGCUGGCUGGUUGUGUAAAACCCUGCGGCUGAACCAGCCCGGCACACCCACGCGCACCGCUGUGUGACAGUGGCCACGCUCCCCGCGUCCCACUGGUGACCUGCCCACCGUCCCUGUCCAUGCCCCGCCCUUCCAGCUGAGGACAGGCUGGCGCCUCCACCCACCCUCCUGCCUCACCCCUGCGGAGAGCACUGUGGCGGGGCGACUGCGCACACAGGAACGGGGGUCUCCUCUCCUGCCCGUCCUGGCUGGGGUGCCUCCGGGGACGGGCGACGCUGCUGUGUGUGGUCUCAGAGCCUCUGCUUCCUUAGGUUACAAAACAAAACAGGGAGAGAAAAAGC